Molecule: long non-coding RNA, 1930 nt
Organism: Lates calcarifer (barramundi perch)
Lineage: Eukaryota; Metazoa; Chordata; Actinopteri; Centropomidae
Exons: 3
Source: RefSeq, a predicted model, not a curated record
GCUCCCGGUGAUCCCUGUAAACCGGAUGCCCUCCCUUCUGCCUCUCAAACAGACGUAAUCUGUGGAUCGGAGAGAGGCAGGCGCUCAGUCGGUGUGGAGUUGGUGUCGGAUGGAGGUGAUGAGAGUGAAAAUAGACGCCGUGGCACGACUUGGAAGAAAUCGCAUCUGAAUCGCCGGGACAGUGAAUCCUGCAGUUUUACAAGCAGGUGGGGGGGAUGAAGGAAAAAAAAAGUCUUCACAUCGUGCCUCCUUUUUGUGGCUCCAUGGAGAUUGUUUCCAUCAGAUGCUGUUCUGAACUGAGGAUGGAGGACUUCAAGUUGCUCUGAUAGAUGAGGUGGUGGUGAUGCAGUAAAAUCAGCUCCUCUCAGUUUAUGUUCCAGCUCAAAUACACUGUCCUGUGUCAUUAUGUCCCCGUGCUGCGCGACCUGACCUCCGCGGUUUGACUGACGUCCCUGUUCCCCCACCACCCCCUGCAUGUCCGAGUGUCUGUCCCCCCCUCCCCUUCCUUCCCUUCCCUUCCCUUCCAUCCACACCCCCGCCUCGUCUGUCAGCUCGGCUCACGGUCACGGCCGCUUGUCCUGCCUGCCUCGGUGAACAUUCAACGCUGUCGGUGAGUUUGGUAUGGAUCACAUAAAAACCAUCGACCGUUGACUGUGCCCUGCGGCUCGCUCCGACGACGUCAGGAAUGAGGGGGUGGGGGGGCUGAACAAAAAGGGCAAGUGGGCGCAUGCAAAUCUGAAGACGCACACAAUCACACAUACACACACAUGCACAGAAGUGACACUCUGUUUCCACUGUACCCAAAGACCAAAGGUCACAAUCAACAUUCAUUGCUGUCGCUGGGUUGGACUGUGUAGAAAAGCUCACUGAACAAUGAGUGCAACUGUGGCCCAGAUCUGCCUGACCCGUGUCUCAGCCAAUCAGCCGACCGGAUGUGAAACACUCUGAUUUCUUUAUUUAUAUACUUCUUGUUUUUCACUUCUAUUUUCUCCUCUCUUCCUCCCUCCUCCCCGGUGCUGGGAGUCUUCAGGGGAAGAGAGAAAAAGAGAGAGGGAGAGAGAGAGAGAUAGAGACACAAAUAGACUUCUGGCUGCUUGCUUGUCCUCAUCCUCCUCUCCUCUCCUCUAAUUGGUGGUUAUGUGUGCAGCAAGGGGGAAGGAAGCGGAGUGAAUGUGUAAUCAUUUGGAGUCUCUUCUCCUUUAGAUGUUUCAUCCCUCUCUUUUUUGUUUGUCUAAUUAUAUACCCAGCUCAGUUAACUCUGUGUUAACUGCGCGUCUGUGCUGGCAAGAAUCAGCUACUGACAAAGAGAAGGAGGACAAGGGGAGUACAAAAAAAAAAAAAGGUGGAAAGAUUAUAGCACCAGAAAAAUUAUUAUCUAGUUUUUAGUGUGUUUUGUAUAAUAUUCUUCCUGGUGCCGCUGCAAAUGAGCCAGGAUAUAAGCAAUUUGCAAAUGCAGAAGGAAGAUUGUUUUCACCUUUCUGACUGAGGAUGUCUCAUUAUCUGUGUUUGAGUUUCAUGAGAGACUGUCUGGUUUCCUGCGUGCCUCUAUGUGUGUGUGUGUGUGUGUGUGUGUGUGUGUGCGCACACGUACACUAUGAUGGAGGACCUGCCUGCUGAUCUCAGAGUGCAAUAUGUUAUUUUCUUUCUAUACUAAAGCGUGCUCCCUCAUGGGAAAACACGGUCUAUAACCUUGUCUUCCUCCAGACAGUCUGGGACCGGCCACGCUGCUGCCAUUUCUCAUUGUACCCCUCUGUAACAACUCUCUGACACCGUGUCCUGUAUCAGUAAUUCAUGUCACGCACGACUCGCGCUCUUGAUAUAUAUGUAGGAAUGUGUUUUAUGUUCUCUUGAAGUGCUGACGUUUGCUGUAAGGAUUUUUUUUUAUGACUGACUCACUAAUUAAUUCAAUAAAGUUAAAUCAGAACCCAGG